This 492-nucleotide ribosomal RNA is filed under the name uncultured bacterium. RNAcentral's name for it is "bacterial SSU rRNA". It matches the Rfam family "Bacterial small subunit ribosomal RNA", at positions 28 to 507 of the family's 1533-position model. The record is from RNAcentral.
GAUGAACGCUAGCUACAGGCUUAACACAUGCAAGUCGAGGGGAAACGACAUCGAAAGCUUGCUUUUGAUGGGCGUCGACCGGCGCACGGGUGAGUAACGCGUAUCCAACCUGCCCACCACUUGGGGAUAACCUUGCGAAAGUAAGACUAAUACCCGAUGAUAUCUCUAGACGACAUCUGAAAGGGAUUAAAGAUUUAUCGGUGAUGGAUGGGGAUGCGUCUGAUUAGCUUGUUGGCGGGGUAACGGCCCACCAAGGCAACGAUCAGUAGGGGUUCUGAGAGGAAGGUCCCCCACAUUGGAACUGAGACACGGUCCAAACUCCUACGGGAGGCAGCAGUGAGGAAUAUUGGUCAAUGGACGGAAGUCUGAACCAGCCAAGUAGCGUGCAGGAUGACGGCCCUAUGGGUUGUAAACUGCUUUUANGUGGGAAUAAAGUCAGGGACGUGUCCCUGUUUGCAUGUACCACAGGAAUAAGGACCGGCUAAUUCCGUG